CCUGAGAGGAGUCCUUUCCUUCCUUCUUUUCCUUCCUCAUUUCUUUCUUUGUUCCUUUCUUUCCUUCUUUCUCUCUCUCUCUUUCUUUCUUUCCUAACUCAUUUCUUUUUUCUUUCUUCCUUUCCUCCCUUCUUUCCUUUUUUAUUCUUUCUUUUUUCUUCUUCCUUCCUUCCUUUCAUUCGUCCUUUCUUUCCUUCUUUCCUUCCUUCUUCCUUGCUUCUUUUCUUUCUCACUCUCUUUCUCUCUCUUUUCUUUCUAUCUUUCCUUCCUUCCUUGUUUCUUUCUUUCCUUCCUUCCUUGUUUCUCUCUCUCUUUCUUUCCUUGCUUUCAUUCCUCAUUUCUUUCUUUCCUUCUUCCUUCUGUUCCUUCCUUAUUUCCUUUUUCUUCUUUCUUCCUUCCUUCCAUUCAUUCUUCCUUUCUUUCCUUCCUUCUUCCUUCCUUCCUCUUUUUAUUUUCCUUCCUUCCUUCCUUCCUUCCUUCUUUGUCUUUCUUGCUUUCUUUUCUUUUUUCUUUCUGUCUCCCUUUCUUUUUUCCUUCCUUCUUCCUUUUUUCCUUCUUUCUUUAUUUCCCUCUCUUUCCUUCCUUUUUUCCUUCUUUCUUCCUCUUCCUUCCUUCCUUUCCUUCUUUCCUUUCCUUUUAUUCUUUCUUUCUUUCCUUCCUUCAUCCUUUCAUUCUUCCUUCUUUCUGUCUUUUUUCUCUGUCUCUUUCCUUCCUUAUUUCUUUCUUCCUUUCCUUCUUUUUCUCUUCCUUUCUCUCUUUCCUUCCUUUUUUCUUUCCUUCUUUCUUUUUUCUUCCUUCCUUCCUUCCCUCCCUCCCUCCAUUCCUUGCUUCCUUCCUUUUCCCCUUCUUUCUUUCCUUGUUUCUUUCUCUCACUCUUUCUUUUCUUCUUUUUCUCUCACUUUUUCUUUCCUUCCUUUUUCUUUCCUUCCCUCCCUCCCUUCUUUCUUUCUUUCUUUCUGUCUUUCUCUCUCUUAAUUUUCUUUUUUCCUUCCUUUUUAUUCCUUCCUUCUUUUUUCUUUCCUUCUUUCCUUCCUUCUUUCUCUCUUUUCCUUUCUUCCUUCCUUCCUUUCUCUUUCUUUCUUUCUUUCUUUCUUUCUUUCUUUCUUUCUUUCUUUCUUUCUUUCAUCCUGCCUACUUUCUUUUCUUCUUGCUUUCUUACUUUCCUUCUUUUGUUUUUUUUCGUGCUUUCUCUCUCUCUAUUUCUUUCCUUCCUUUUUUCAUUUUUUAUUUCCAUCGUG
This 1238-nucleotide long non-coding RNA is filed under the name Monodelphis domestica (gray short-tailed opossum). RNAcentral describes it as "lncRNA (ENSMODG00000039701.1)". The record is from RNAcentral. Lineage: Eukaryota; Metazoa; Chordata; Mammalia; Didelphimorphia; Didelphidae.